RNAcentral lists this ribosomal RNA (1002 nucleotides) under uncultured Halomonas sp. RNAcentral's name for it is "bacterial SSU rRNA". It matches the Rfam family "Bacterial small subunit ribosomal RNA", at positions 140 to 1143 of the family's 1533-position model. Lineage: Bacteria; Pseudomonadati; Pseudomonadota; Gammaproteobacteria; Oceanospirillales; Halomonadaceae. The record is from RNAcentral.
GGGAUAACCUGGGGAAACCCAGGCUAAUACCGCAUACGUCCUACGGGAGAAAGGGGGCUCCGGCUCCCGCUAUCGGAUGAGCCUAUGUCGGAUUAGCUGGUUGGUGAGGUAAAGGCUCACCAAGGCGACGAUCCGUAGCUGGUCUGAGAGGAUGAUCAGCCACAUCGGGACUGAGACACGGCCCGAACUCCUACGGGAGGCAGCAGUGGGGAAUAUUGGACAAUGGGGGGAACCCUGAUCCAGCCAUGCCGCGUGUGUGAAGAAGGCCCUCGGGUUGUAAAGCACUUUCAGUGAGGAAGAACGCCUGGUGGUUAAUACCCAUCAGGAAAGACAUCACUCACAGAAGAAGCACCGGCUAACUCCGUGCCAGCAGCCGCGGUAAUACGGAGGGUGCGAGCGUUAAUCGGAAUUACUGGGCGUAAAGCGCGCGUAGGUGGCUUGAUAAGCCGGUUGUGAAAGCCCCGGGCUCAACCUGGGAACGGCAUCCGGAACUGUCAAGCUAGAGUGCAGGAGAGGAAGGUAGAAUUCCCGGUGUAGCGGUGAAAUGCGUAGAGAUCGGGAGGAAUACCAGUGGCGAAGGCGGCCUUCUGGACUGACACUGACACUGAGGUGCGAAAGCGUGGGUAGCAAACAGGAUUAGAUACCCUGGUAGUCCACGCCGUAAACGAUGUCGACCAGCCGUUGGGUGCCUAGCGCACUUUGUGGCGAAGUUAACGCGAUAAGUCGACCGCCUGGGGAGUACGGCCGCAAGGUUAAAACUCAAAUGAAUUGACGGGGGCCCGCACAAGCGGUGGAGCAUGUGGUUUAAUUCGAUGCAACGCGAAGAACCUUACCUACUCUUGACAUCCUGCGAAUUUGGUAGAGAUACCUUAGUGCCUUCGGGAACGCAGAGACAGGUGCUGCAUGGCUGUCGUCAGCUCGUGCUGUGAAAUGUUGGGUUAAGUCCCGUAACGAGCGCAACCCUUGUCCUUAUUUGCCAGCGCGUAAUGGCGGGAACUCUAG